This 46-nucleotide ribosomal RNA is filed under the name Heterobasidion irregulare. Its description in RNAcentral is "partial 28S ribosomal RNA". Lineage: Eukaryota; Fungi; Basidiomycota; Agaricomycetes; Russulales; Bondarzewiaceae. The record is from RNAcentral.
CUUGACCUCAAAUCACGGCGGGACUACCCGCUGAACUUAAGCAUAU